This 363-nucleotide ribosomal RNA is filed under the name Triticum aestivum (bread wheat). Its description in RNAcentral is "partial small subunit ribosomal RNA". The record is from RNAcentral. Lineage: Eukaryota; Viridiplantae; Streptophyta; Magnoliopsida; Poales; Poaceae.
AUGGUUCAUGGCAAAAGAUUAAAUGCACAAAAGUUUUCAGUUGGAGGGACUCCAAGGAAAGUGCUAUACCACAGCGAUAGUAGAACACUGUUGGUUAUGAGAACUGGUUUAACUGGUGCAUCAUGUUCUUCAGAUAUUGUCCAAAUAGAUCCUAAUAAUGGGAUCUUGCUUUCCCGAUUCAAGUGUGAACUUGGUGAAACUGCAAAAUGCAUCCAGAUUGUGAAAAUAGGAAGUGAGCAAGUGUUAAUUGUUGGGACAAGUAAAUCUACUGACCGGCCGAUGAUGCCAAAUGGCGAAGCAGAAAGGUUAACAUCUCAUCUAUUCUUUCUAAUUAAGUGCUGCUGUCCUGUCAGAUAUCUUUGA